GAAGCACAUGGAGUGACUCGUGAGGAAGAUUCUCAAAGGAAGUUUUAACGUUACCCUCUGCAACUUUAAGAUAACCUGCUGAUUUCCUUCUGCCAUGCAGUGGAAAUGAGGAAGCGGAGGGCGCCACGAGUUCAAGGGAAACAAGGAAGAAGACCCUUGGCCCCCAUUCCCUGGUCCAACUCGCCCUGGAGGCGAGAAGCAGAUUGUUUUUAAACUGCCCUUCCCCU
Long non-coding RNA from Paramisgurnus dabryanus, 227 nucleotides. RefSeq lists it as uncharacterized. The record is from RefSeq and is a predicted model, not a curated record. Lineage: Eukaryota; Metazoa; Chordata; Actinopteri; Cypriniformes; Cobitidae.